RNAcentral lists this long non-coding RNA (2616 nucleotides) under Chloebia gouldiae (Gouldian finch). Its description in RNAcentral is "Erythrura gouldiae (Gouldian finch) lncRNA (ENSEGOG00005018934.1)". Lineage: Eukaryota; Metazoa; Chordata; Aves; Passeriformes; Passeridae. The record is from RNAcentral.
UCAGUUAUUCCCCUGCAGCUCGGGGAGGCAAUCAACAACUCUCCUUUGGGUGCAUUUUGCAAACUCACUGUGCCUUCUAGAAAUCAAGCCCUGGCGCUGUGACUUACCGUGCUCUUUUUACUGGUCAUUUUGAGACACUGAAUUGCUGCCACAAAGAUGUAAGACACUGAUAUACUGUGAAGACAGCCAGCCCAAAAUGAGUCUGUGUAUUGUUUCCUGCAGACGGCUUUUAAACAGGUCUCUGCAGCCUCUUUUGUGGUUUCAGGCUCUGCUCAGCAUUUAGUAGCUUCUGCUUUAGUACUGCUAUGAACUAUCUUUAAGGAGGGAAAAAACACUGUAAUUUUUCUUCUGAGCAGUAUUUUGUAGGGGCUCAGAGUGGUGUUUGGAGCACGAGGCAGGGCCACCCCAGCUGUGCCAGAUGUGCACCUUCCCAGCUGGAGUCAAGCAGAGCUUAACCCCUGGCAGAGGUCAGAGCCCUGCUCUGGGACUUACUCAGCACCCAGGGUCUCCAGAGCCACUUCCAGAGGUGAGGACCCUCCCCUGAGUGCCUUUGCAGCCACUCUCCUGCUCCUCAGCUCUCCCCUGUGUGCUGCAGCCCUCCCCAGCACUGCUCUGCAGAGGUCACCAGGUAAUUCACUGAUCCACUGGGCUACCAAAGUACUGCAACAGGCAGAAAAUGCAGCUCUUCAACCUCACCUCUUUAUAAGAUGUUUUGUGUUGGGUUUUUUUAGCCUUAAUUAAAUGUUUGUGCAUUCAGCAGCUCAGACCAUUCCUGGUCCCAGUGUUUUUUGUUUCCAAGAGAAAAGGUAUUUGCACUCUAAUAUGCAGAGUGGAAAUUUUCUAUUGCAUAGUAAAUUUAUCAAAAAGUAAAAUGAAAGUCAAUUGAUCUUUAGGGAACAGGAAAUACCCACCAAUUAUGACUGAAUUUAGUGAAGUGUUUAAUCCAAAAGACAUGGAAUUUAAAGUUUAGAAAAACUCAAUGCAUUUAAUUUCUGUUUGAUUCAAACCAAGUUUUGUCCCUAUUUCCUUCCUGCACUAAAAAAAAAAUAUAUCUGUUUCAGUUUGGCCCAAUCUUUCCUGCCUCUUACCCUUCCCACACCAGUCGGUGUGAUCCCCAAACUGGAGCCCAGAGUCCACCCAACUUGUUGAGCUUACAGCUCAAAACAUUCUACAGAAAUUAUUUCAGUUGCACUGGAUCCGUGCUGGAUUCCUGCAGCUGGAACAGAGCAGAACUGCACAUCACACAUUUACAGGCAUGAAAUCCACGGCUUUAAUCUCAUGUUUCCUAAUGCUAAAUAACUCCAGUCGUUGACAGCUAACUCCAAAGAGAGGGUCAGUAAAAGCUAAAUAUGUCGAUGGCUGUGUCUUUAUUUUGGCUUUUCUGUAUGGUUUUCUCCUAGCCUUUUCUGCACUGCUCUGUCUUACAGCUGUGCAAAUAUUUGGGCUUUUCUUGGCCUGAAAAUUAUUUUUUUCCCCUGAAAGACCCUGUAGACAGAGCCCUUGGGAGGUACAGAGGAGAUGGACUAGAAAAGUACUGUGAUAACAGUGUUCAGAGUUUCUAUUGUGUGCGGACAAUGUAUUUAAGCAUAUUUUUAUACUGGACCAUAUGAGUUCUUUUGGUUUUGGUUUGUUUCUUUGGUUUGCUUUUGGUUUUUUUAUACUGUGACCACAAAUAUACAUUGAAACCCUCCUUGAUCAUUUUCUAAUCAUUGUAUGACACACAUUCACAAAGUUCUGUGAAUGAACCAGACAACAUAUAAAAGUUUGUUGGUUUUUUUUUUUUAAUCUUAAUUUUUAAGAGUAUUCCCCUCUGCACAAUUUUUGUUACCUGCAUUUCCUCCUGUGCUGUAUUGGUCCUUUUGUGACCAAGCAAGGUCCCUUUGGAAAAAGCCCCAACAAGAGACACACCACUGACACUGCAGGGUGGCAGUGGCACAGAGGGCUGAGGCAGUUUUCAUCAGGCAUGCUCUGGUUUAAAAUUGCUCACCAAACCUAAGACAAGCAGGAAAGCUUGGUUUGGUUUUCUACUUCUGAAAGGGACGGGGCAGUGCUGUGAGGGAGCACUGGUGACCCCUGGGAUCCUCUGUGCAUGCAGGGUCCUGCUGCACCUGAACGGGGCUGGGAUGAAGCAGUUUUAUUUUGUUCAUGGCCCAUGAGGAUUGGAGCACGGAUUUAUCACACUGCACUGGGCAUGGGGCUCCUUCUGGUUUUGAUAAACUGCUGAAAAUCCUCACAAAGUACAAACGUGUUCCUUUGCCAUCGAUAUCCAUUUUUUUUGUUUGAUUCGAAGUGUUUUUCUUGGUACUGAAUGCAGCAAAUGUACUGAAUAAGAAAUGCUCAAAUGAAUCUUUAAACAAUCUCUUUCUGUCCUCACUCUCUUGAAGCUUGAAAAUCUUGCAGUUUAUUUAUGGGCUUGUAUAUAGCAGCUAUUACAAUUUUUUUUUUUGGGACAGCAUCAUUUUGUCAACAGUAUGAAAUCUUAAUUGAAUGAAAUGUGAGUUUUAAAAAUAGGUAAUGUAGCAAGAAUGACUUUGCCAGUAAUUAGUAAAAUAAUUUAGUUUUGUUGUUUUUUUCCCCUCAAAUAAAUAAGAAAUCUUAAUUUCCUAAAAGGACUUU